GAAGCUGGCACCUCCGGUGUCCGCGUUGUAAUCUCGAGACGUGUUUUCCGUGCGGCUCUAUGGACAAGUCCCUUGGAAUAGGGCAUCGUAGAGGGUGAGAAUCCCGUACUUGCCAUGGAAGAACCGUGCUUUGCGAUACACGCUCUAAGAGUCGAGUUGUUUGGGAUUGCAGCUCAAAAUGGGUGGUAGACUCCAUCUAAAGCUAAAUAUCGGGGAGAGACCGAUAGCGAACAAGUACCGUGAGGGAAAGAUGAAAAGCACUUUGGAAAGAGAGUUAAAAGUACGUGAAAUUGUCGAAAGGGAAGCACUUGAAGUCAGCCAUGCUGCUUGAGACUCAGCCUGGCCUUUGGGCUUGGUGUAUUUCUCGGUGGCAAGCCAGCAUUGGUUUGGGUCGUCGGAGAAGCGCAUAGGGAAUGUAGCGUCUCCGGACGUGUUAUAGCCUUAUGCAGGAUACGACGACCUGGAUCAAGGAACGCAGUGUGCCCUCUGGG
RNAcentral lists this ribosomal RNA (491 nucleotides) under Malassezia globosa. RNAcentral's name for it is "partial large subunit ribosomal RNA". It matches the Rfam family "Eukaryotic large subunit ribosomal RNA", at positions 118 to 613 of the family's 3401-position model. Lineage: Eukaryota; Fungi; Basidiomycota; Malasseziomycetes; Malasseziales; Malasseziaceae. The record is from RNAcentral.